GAGAAAGUCACAGUGGUUGUGCGGUUGACUUGAAAUCAGCUAUAGAGGGUUCGAUUCCUUCCUUUCUUA
RNAcentral lists this transfer RNA (69 nucleotides) under Avahi laniger (woolly lemur). Its description in RNAcentral is "tRNA-Ser". It matches the Rfam family "tRNA". From Rfam's summary of the family: Transfer RNA (tRNA) molecules are approximately 80 nucleotides in length. Their secondary structure includes four short double-helical elements and three loops (D, anti-codon, and T loops). The record is from RNAcentral. Lineage: Eukaryota; Metazoa; Chordata; Mammalia; Primates; Indriidae.